GAAAUGCGAUAAGUAGUGUGAAUUGCAGAAUUCAGUGAAUCAUCGAAUCUUUGAACGCACAUUGCGCCCUUUGGUAUUCCAAAGGGCAUGCCUGUUCGAGCGUCAUUUGUACCCUCAAGCUUUGCUUGGUGUUGGGCGUCUUGUCUCUAGCUUUGCUGGAGACUCGCCUUAAAGUAAUUGGCAGCCGACCUACUGGUUUCGGAGCGCAGCACAAGUCGCACUCUCUAUCAGCAAAGGUCUAGCAUCCAUUAAGCCUUUUUUUCAACUUUUGACCUCGGAUCAGGUAGGGAUACCCGCUGAACUUAAGC
This 308-nucleotide unclassified non-coding RNA is filed under the name plant metagenome. RNAcentral describes it as "partial contains 5.8S ribosomal RNA, internal transcribed spacer 2, and large subunit ribosomal RNA". The stretch from base 1 to 105 matches the Rfam family "5.8S ribosomal RNA", at positions 50 to 154 of the family's 154-position model. The record is from RNAcentral.